Molecule: ribosomal RNA, 449 nt
Filed under: uncultured organism
Description: partial 16S ribosomal RNA
Rfam family: Bacterial small subunit ribosomal RNA
Source: RNAcentral
ACUCCUGCGGGAGGCAGCAGUGGGGAAUAUUGGACAAUGGGCGCAAGCCUGAUCCAGCCAUGCCGCGUGAGUGAUGAAGGCCCUAGGGUUGUAAAGCUCUUUCACCGGUGAAGAUAAUGACGGUAACCGGAGAAGAAGCCCCGGCUAACUUCGUGCCAGCAGCCGCGGUAAUACGAAGGGGGCUAGCGUUGUUCGGAUUUACUGGGCGUAAAGCGCACGUAGCCGGACUAUUAAGUCAGGGGUGAAAUCCCGGGGCUCAACCCCGGAACUGCCUUUGAUACUGGUAGUCUUGAGUGCGAGAGAGGUGAGUGGAAUUCCGAGUGUAGAGGUGAAAUUCGUAGAUAUUCGGAGGAACACCAGUGGCGAAGGCGGCUCACUGGCUCGAUACUGACGCUGAGGUGCGAAAGCGUGGGGAGCAAACAGGAUUAGAAACCCUUGUAGUCCCAUGA